Molecule: ribosomal RNA, 1697 nt
Filed under: Etelis oculatus (queen snapper)
Lineage: Eukaryota; Metazoa; Chordata; Actinopteri; Lutjaniformes; Lutjanidae
Description: 16S ribosomal RNA
Rfam family: Bacterial large subunit ribosomal RNA (bases 107-1586)
Source: RNAcentral
CGCCCAGCAGCUAGCCCCACCAACCAAAAACAACACAACCCCCUCAAUAACCCCAAAUACACCAAAAUUUAUUAAACAAACCAUUUUUCCUCCCUAGUACAGGCGAUAGAAAAGGAACCGUUGGAGCAACAGAAAAAGUACCGCAAGGGAACGCUGAAAGAGAAAUGAAACAACCCAGUAAAGCACAAAAAAGCAGAGAUUUAACCUCGUACCUUUUGCAUCAUGAUUUAGCCAGUAACCCCAAGCGAAGAGCACUUUAGUUUGACCCCCCGAAACUAGGUGAGCUACUCCAAGACAGCCUAUUAAUAGGGCAAACCCGUCUCUGUGGCAAAAGAGUGGGAAGAGCUUCGAGUAGUGGUGACAGACCUACCGAGCCUAGUUAUAGCUGGUUGCCUGAGAAUUGGAUAGAAGUUCAGCCUCCCGGCUUCUUUCUUCACCCUCCGUCUUAACCCCCUUUUGACACCUAAAGAAACCGAGAGAGUUAAUCAAAGGGGGUACAGCCCCUUUGAUACAAGACACAACUUUUACAGGAGGAUAAAGAUCAUAAUCAAACCAAGGGAGACAUGUUCGAGUAGGCCUAAAAGCAGCCACCCCCUUAGAAAGCGUUAAAGCUCAGACAUACACUUACCCCUUCCUAUCCUGAUAACUCAAUCUUAAACCCCUAGACCUAUCAGGCCGUCCCAUGCAAACAUGGGAGCGACCAUGCUAAUAUGAGUAAUAAGAGAGCCCUGCCUCUCUCCCAGCACACAUGUAAAUCGGAACGGACACCCCGCCGAGUAUUAACGGCCCCAAACAAAGAGGGAACUGAACGACAGACCAAACAACCAGAAAACCAUCCAACUAGAAUAACCGUUAACCCUACACUGGUGUGCACCCCUGGAAAGACUAAAAGAAAGAGAAGGAACUCGGCAAACACAUGAAGCCUCGCCUGUUUACCAAAAACAUCGCCUCUUGCAAAACUAAUGAAUAAGAGGUCCCGCCUGCCCUGUGACUAUAAGUUUAACGGCCGCGGUAUUUUGACCGUGCGAAGGUAGCGCAAUCACUUGUCUUUUAAAUGGAGACCUGUAUGAAUGGCAUGACGAGGGCUUAGCUGUCUCCUUUUUCGAGUCAAUGAAAUUGAUCUCCCCGUGCAGAAGCGGGGAUUUACACAUAAGACGAGAAGACCCUAUGGAGCUUUAGACACCAAAGCAGAUCAUGUCAAACACCCCUAAACAAAGGGCCAAACUAAAUGAACCCUGCCCUAAUGUCUUUGGUUGGGGCGACCGCGGGGAAACACAAAACCCCCACGUGGAAUGAGAGCACUUCCUCUUACAGCCGAGAGUUCCCACUCUAGCAAACAGAAAUUCUGACCAUUAAGAUCCGGCAAAGCCGAUCAACGGACCGAGUUACCCUAGGGAUAACAGCGCAAUCCCCUUUUAGAGCCCAUAUCGACAAGGGGGUUUACGACCUCGAUGUUGGAUCAGGACAUCCUAAUGGUGCAGCCGCUAUUAAGGGUUCGUUUGUUCAACGAUUAAAGUCCUACGUGAUCUGAGUUCAGACCGGAGCAAUCCAGGUCAGUUUCUAUCUAUGACACGAUCUUUUCUAGUACGAAAGGACCGAAAAGAAGAGGCCCAUGCCUUAGGUAUGCCUCACCCCCACCUAAUGAAGACAGAUAAAAUAGGCAAAAGGGCGUACCCCCGUGCCUGAGAGAACGGCAU